GAUCCUGGCUCAGAGCGAACGCUGGCGGCAGGCUUAACACAUGCAAGUCGAGCGGGCCCUUCGGGGUCAGCGGCAGACGGGUGAGUAACGCGUGGGAACGUGCCCUUCGGUUCGGAAUAACUCAGGGAAACUUGAGCURGUACCGGAUACGCCCUUUUGGGGAAAGGCUUGACUGCCGAAGAUCGGCCCGCGUCUGAUUAGCUAGUUGGUGAGGUUAUGGCUCACCAAGGCGACGAUCAGUAGCUGGUCUGAGAGGAUGAUCAGCCACACUGGGACUGAGACACGGCCCAGACUCCUACGGGAGGCAGCAGUGGGGAAUAUUGGACAAUGGGGCAACCCUGAUCCAGCCAUGCCGCGUGAGUGAUGACGGCCUUAGGUUGUAAAGCUCUUUUCUCCGGACGAUAAUGACGGUACCGGAGGAAUAAGCCCCGGCUAACUUCGUGCCAGCAGCCGCGGUAAUACGAAGGGGGCUAGCGUUGCUCGGAAUCACUGGGCGUAAAGGGCGCGUAGGCGGCGUUUUAAGUCGGGGGUGAAAGCCUGUGGCUCAACCACAGAAUGGCCUUCGAUACUGGGACGCUUGAGUAUGGUAGAGGUUGGUGGAACYCCCCGUGUAGAGGUGAAAUUCGUAGAUAUUCGCAAGAACACCGGUGGCGAAGGCGGCCAACUGGACCAUUACUGACGCUGAGGCGCGAAAGCGUGGDGAGCAAACAGGAUUAGAUACCCUGGUAGUMAAUCACUAGUGAAU
RNAcentral lists this ribosomal RNA (745 nucleotides) under uncultured bacterium. Its description in RNAcentral is "bacterial SSU rRNA". It matches the Rfam family "Bacterial small subunit ribosomal RNA", at positions 15 to 810 of the family's 1533-position model. The record is from RNAcentral.